UAGAAUUAUUUCAUUUGUUUGCUCGGGUCAUUGUUACAGCUCUUGUUUAGAUUACCUUGAUUUUGGUCUAUUAAAUUGGAAUAGAAUGAUUUUGCAUGGAUUUGUUAGUUUACUGGUUUAGGCUUAAGGAUUGCAUCGUCGUGAUCGUUAUUCUUCUAAGCAUUCUUGCCUUAAUUCAUCUUCUGGUAUACUGUUUUGGUUCAGGGCAUCCCGUUUUCCUUAUUUCAAUUUCUAACUACUUAAUCCAUUGACUAUUUGUUUCAGGCGUUAGUCCACUCAAUUUAUUUAAUUGUGUGAUUGGUGGGUUAUAAUAGUUUCUCAUAGAAUCCUGUCGAUUCUAGAUUAAAUAGCAAGUUGUCUCCCUUGUUAGAUUGACUGUGGAUUCAAUGAGAAUGAGAGUAGGAAGAGUUGAGCUCUAGCAAAAACCUUGAGUAUCCUAACUUGGUUUCCCUAGGUUGCUCCUCAUUCCAAGCUCUCCUCAUUCCAAAAUCGAAUUUCCUUCGCUAAAGUUGAAUAAAUCUUUGCUUGUUGUCGGCCUGUUCAUGUAUCACUCUCGCUUAAUCAUAGUUGAUUGUUUUAAAAAAAGAAAAACUGGAAUGCUAUUUUCUUCCUGUUUGCUACUUUUGAUG
This 629-nucleotide long non-coding RNA is filed under the name Capsicum annuum. RNAcentral describes it as "long non-coding RNA (CANN_LNC008747)". The record is from RNAcentral. Lineage: Eukaryota; Viridiplantae; Streptophyta; Magnoliopsida; Solanales; Solanaceae.